RNAcentral lists this transfer RNA (77 nucleotides) under Halobellus salinus. RNAcentral's name for it is "tRNA-Glu". It matches the Rfam family "tRNA". Rfam says of the family: Transfer RNA (tRNA) molecules are approximately 80 nucleotides in length. Lineage: Archaea; Methanobacteriati; Methanobacteriota; Halobacteria; Halobacteriales; Haloferacaceae. The record is from RNAcentral.
GCUCCCGGAGUCUCCGUUGGCGAGAGACGCCACCCUUUCAAGGUGGAGGCCGGGGGUUCGAUUCCCCUCGGGAGCAC